CCACGCCCCCCAGGGCCACAACCCCACGCUCUGCGACCUCGGGUCUAGCCCCAUCCCCACCUGUGUUCCUACAUCCACGCUCCCCACGCCCUGAAUCCCCAAGUCCACGCAGCCCGGGUCAGCUGUUCACUGCUUCUUUCCUGUCAGUCCUUGGGCUUCGCUGAGGCGUUUUGGAAGCUUGCUGACCCCUCUCGUCUCGCUUUCCUUCAGAUGUGUUUUUCAUCCAUUCACUGUGGAGGGGAUAUUAUGAAUAUUCAGGGAAAAGAUAGCCUGUGACCCCAACUGUCGAACUGUUUCAACGCAGCGAGCAGCAAAGUGAACACGACCUACAUUGAAGCCUCCCAGGGGGAUCUGAAGUUGACAGGAAAUGUUCUCCAGUGUGACUCUGGAGAUUUGGGAAAGAAGUUGGAUCAAGGGUUGUUCAGACUGAGGUUUGGAUUUGGGAAAGAAGUUGGAUCAAGAGUUGUUCAGACUGAGUCCCAGUGGACAGAAGUCCACCUGCCAUGUACAGUCUGAUUGGGAAAGACCAUAGAGGAGGAAGUGGAAGUCACGCUUCUGGAGGAUCAACCAGGACCUGGUGUUCUGUGAGGUGCUGAAAUUUAACUGCCAUAAAAAUCUCCUGAAUCUUAUCUCUACUGACAGUUUUUAGAAGUGGGU
Molecule: long non-coding RNA, 657 nt
Filed under: Bos indicus x Bos taurus (hybrid cattle)
Lineage: Eukaryota; Metazoa; Chordata; Mammalia; Artiodactyla; Bovidae
Description: lncRNA (ENSBIXG00000008422.1)
Source: RNAcentral